UCCGGUUUGUCACCGGCAGUCUCGCAUGAGUCCCCAACUAAAUGCUGGCAACAUGCGACGGGGGUUGCGCUCGUUGCGGGACUUAACCCAACAUCUCACGACACGAGCUGACGACAGCCAUGCAGCACCUGUGCACGAGCUCCGAAGAGGGGCCAUGGUUUCCCACAGCUUUCCCGUACAUGUCAAGCCCAGGUAAGGUUCUACGCGUUGCGUCGAAUUAAACCACAUGCUCCACCGCUUGUGCGGGCCCCCGUCAAUUCCUUUGAGUUUCAGCCUUGCGGCCGUACUCCCCAGGCGGGGCACUUAAUGCGUUAGCGCCGGCACUCAGGGGGUCGCUCCCCCAAGCACCUAGUGCCCAUCGUUUACGGCGUGGACUAC
Molecule: unclassified non-coding RNA, 378 nt
Filed under: uncultured bacterium
Lineage: Bacteria
Description: contains 16S-23S intergenic spacer region
Source: RNAcentral